This 362-nucleotide ribosomal RNA is filed under the name uncultured bacterium. Its description in RNAcentral is "partial 16S ribosomal RNA". It matches the Rfam family "Bacterial small subunit ribosomal RNA", at positions 338 to 717 of the family's 1533-position model. The record is from RNAcentral.
CCUACGGGUGACAGCAGUGGGGGAUAGUGCACAAUGGGGGAAACCCUGAUGCAGCGACACCGCGUGGGUGAAGAAGCGCCUCGGCGCGUAAAGCCCUGUCAGCAGGGAAGAAAAUGACGGUACCUGAAGAAGAAGCCCCGGCGAACGACGUGCCAGCAGCCGCGGUAAUACGUAGGGGGCAAGCGUUAUCCGGAUUGACGGGGGGUAAAGGGGGCGCAGACGGCGAUGCAAGCCAGGAGUGAAAGCCCGGGGCCCCACCCCGGGACUGCUCUUGGAACUGCGUGGCGAGAGUGCAGGAGGGGCAGGCGUAAUUCCUGUUGUAGCGGUGCAAUGCGUCGAUAUCAGGCGGAACACCGGUGGCG